CUGUCGUCUGAGUGUUUCAGACUAAACUCAGACGACACAUAAAUUAAAUGUGUUGUCUGAAUACAAUGAGAAACCAUGCUUGUUUCAUUUUGAAGAUAUGGUCAGACUCAGACGACACUUAAAUGUCGUCUGAAAAGAUGAAAAUUUUCUAUAUUGAACCCUAGCAGAAAUUUCAGACUUCCCUCCAACAAGUUUUAGGCUUUUCCCUCUCAAAUGCCCAAACCCUAUAGCUGAAUAGUCAAUAGAGUGAUAUUCAAACAACACAUUUAAGAAAUUGUGUUGUCUGAAUAAGGUAAGUUAUAUUUUUUUUCCUUUUCUUUUUGGCUUAGUUGCGAAAGACUUCGCGUUUUUUCCACGGCUCCUCUUUCUCUUUUCCCAUCUCUGCUCGUUCGCUCUCCCAUUCUCUUUCUCUCCUUUACCAACAAAAUCCCCUUUCUCUUUGUCUCCAUCUCUCCCAUAAAUUUCUUUCUCAAAACCCUGCAGCCUCCCCAGAUUCUCUCCGAAUCCCUACCCUUCAUCCAGAAGUUCAGGGCCAAGACCAGUGUAGUCAAGUACCACGGUGACGCCAUGAAAGAGAACACCGUCCAGGCCAUGGACGGCCUUACCUCUACAUCGCCUCCGCCUCUUCCUCUUCCUGCUUAACCCUCAGUUCAGAUCUAGUCCCCGGAAGGUUUUUCUCUGAAAGACAAUGUUUUUUUAAUUUGGGCUUUUAGGGUUCUUCUGGUUUUGGGGUUUUUCUGGAAGAUCUCAAUCAACGAAAGCCGUAAAGUUAAAUUUUGUGGAAAAUUUCUUCAUUUGCAGAUUACAAAGCUUAUAUUGAAGAAUCUUGGAUGGAUUCCGAUUCCUUCAAUAUUUCGUUGGAUUUUCUCUAUCACUGGAGAACCGAUCUGGUAUUGAGAGUUUGGUUUCACUUUAGUCCCUCCCUUCAGGUAUAUCUCUCACUUAUUAGGUUCUCUAUACAGUACACCAACGAAUUCAAUGUCACGGACUAGACCAUUAUCUUUAAGCAAGGAUAAAGAUAUGCCUCGAUUCAAUGAGUUGCAGUAUUGCCUACAACAUUUACCAAACAUGGUUUCGAUCGAUGUCACCAAAUCUUGCCUCUAUUCAAUUAGCCAGCCAAAUCAAAAGGGUAAUCACGAUUAAAUACGCUUGAAGGUGUGGAAGACGGCCGGGCAACUAGCUCGACCUCGGAGAUUCAUGAAGUUGAGCCUACGAUAAACAAAUGGGAAGCAUCUGGUUCCUCCAUUGCAUCUCAAGUCUGCAGUAAAUAGUGAGCAAGUUGCAAUUGCCAUAGAGAUAUGGAUCCUGGGAGCACUACUAGUAGAUUGGAAGAUGAAGAAGAUGAUAAGGGUAAUCCUAUGGCAUAGUUGCUGCCAUCUUUUACCGUUCUUUUCCCUAAUACCAAAUGCUUAUUCAAGGUGCUUUAACUUGUAUUGAGCUCUUCUCUGUUUAUUCCUCUGCAGUUCAUGGUUUCAAGUCACUCACUACAUCAAGAAUGGUUCCUAGAUUUACACACUACUACAGAAAACACUUUCUGGGACACCCACUAAUUUUUUUAAGGACGUCUUUUUUUACGGAAUGACUAUGAUAACUGGGUAUCAGGAUAUAUACGUUUAAUUGUAUCUCUUAUAGGGUCAAUGUUCAUUAUAUUUAUACAUCUGUAAUUGUAAACAUAGUUGGAACUUAGGAGAGAAAAGCAUUUAGUAAUAUUGUCUGAAGUUUAGUGUAAAAUUCUUGACUUUUUUUGUGUAUUUUAUUUUAUUUUUAGCCAUAAAUUUGCAAUCUUUGUUGCUGCUAUAUGCUUCUAUUUUUCUUUUCGUCAGUUUUCCUUUUACCUAUGAUGAAUUGCUUUUCUGCUGUUGUUUGUAAGUAUCCUCUUUCUCCUUUGUUCUUUUGCUUCUGGUUUUAUUCUCUAGUGUGCGAUGUUAAGUUUUAUUGGUAUUGCCGCAAUUGUUAUCAAGCAUGGUGAUGAUAACAAUUGCAGAAGUAGUGCUGCUUGCAUACUGUCAUGCAGAUUUAACUUUUCUCAAUCAUUUUCUUUUUAUAUAUCUGUGUAGGAUAGGAUGCGUAUGAAGACCAAUGCUGUGAUAAGGGUUCUCUCAUGCAAUGUAAUUCGGAAUCAAGGUUUCUAGUUGAAUACAGCUGCUGGUACCAUGUCUCCCUUUGAACAUGGCGAGUUUUUUGUUCUUGAUGAUGGUGGAGAGCAGCUAAUCAGAGUUUAAAAUAUCCAGCAGCAGUGUGAUGUGGCCAUUUAAAAGCUUUAUUAGGUGUUGGAAGUUGGAACUUCAUAAGAAGAACCGAAACAUGAUUUUCAAUUAAUGAGAUGAUAUGAAGACAUUGGUGUGAUGCCAGUGGUGUCCUCCAAUUUGGCUGAAAGAAGUGUACAGGUUUGCUGACUGCGGUGCAUAAGGACUACUCUACUAUAUAUAUGAUAUCAGAAGCAGGUGUCCAAUCCCAGCCUGAAGGAUAUGUCUGCUGGAGCAAAGGACAACUUCCAAAACCAGUUUUGGGCUGGAAACCAAGAUAGUGGCAGCAUCCAUUCCUUUUAUGAUGUCGCUGCUAAUCCAGAUUCGUAUGGCAAAGGCACCAGAUUUUUGAGACAAGUAGAACAAUGUAUAAUGUAGUUUUACUAUAUCUAAUGUAUCUAUAACGUAAUUUCGAUGUAAAUUCAACCAUAUCAAUAGUAUACCCGCAGCACCGCGCGGGCAUUUUGCCUAAUAGGAAUAUAAAUGUGACAUUUGAAAUACCAUGCAACCACUAAAUCAAAGUCAAAAUAUGUUGUUGGAGCUA
This is a long non-coding RNA of Rosa rugosa (rugosa rose), 2790 nucleotides long. RefSeq lists it as uncharacterized. The transcript has 9 exons. NCBI's taxonomy places the organism in Eukaryota, Viridiplantae, Streptophyta, Magnoliopsida, Rosales, Rosaceae. The record is from RefSeq and is a predicted model, not a curated record.